CGGGGACUCUAGAGAUUAGAGUUUGAUCCUGGCUCAGGAUUAACGCUGGCGGCAUGCCUAAUACAUGCAAGUCGAACGAGAAAUUUAUUUCUAGUGGCGAACGGGUGAGUAAUGUAUUUCUAAUCUGCCCCAAUGUGUGGGAUAACUAUUGGAAACGAUAGCUAAUACCGCAUAGGAUACAGUGUGGCAUCACAUUGUGUUUAAAGGUGCGUUUGCAUCGCGUUGGGAUGAGGAAAUAUCACAUUAGCUAGUUGGUAGGGUAAAGGCCUACCAAGGCGAUGAUGUGUAGCCGAGCUGAGAGGUUGAUCGGCCACAAUGGGACUGAGACACGGCCCAUACUCCUACGGGAGGCAGCAGUAGGGAAUUUUCCACAAUGGACGAAAGUCUGAUGGAGCAAUGCCGCGUGAGGGAUGACGGUCUUCGGAUUGUAAACCUCUGUUGUAAGGGAAGAACACCCUGGAUAGGAAAUGAUCCAGGUUUGACGGUACCUUACCAGAAAGUCACGGCUAACUAUGUGCCAGCAGCCGCGGUAAUACAUAGGUGGCGAGCGUUAUCCGGAUUUAUUGGGCGUAAAGAGUGCACAGGUGGUUUAUCAAGUCAGGCGUUAAAGCCCGGGGCUCAACCCCGGUGUGCGUCUGAAACUGAUAGACUAGAGUAUCGGUGGGGUUAGUAGAAUUCCAUGUGUAGCGGUGGAAUGCAUAAAUAUAUGGAGGAAUACCAGUGGCGAAGGCGGCUAACUGAACGAUAACUGACACUUAAGCACGAAAGCGUGGGGAGCAAAUAGGAUUAGAUACCCUAGUAGUCCACGCCGUAAACGAUCCACACUAGACGUAGGGAAGACCCUGUGUCGCAGCUAACGCAUUAAGUGUGGCGCCUGGGUAGUAUGCACGCAAGUGUGAAACUCAAAGGAAUUGACGGGGACCAGCACAAGUGGUGGAGCAUGUGGUUUAAUUCGAAGAUACGCGAAGAACCUUACCUACACUUGACAUGCUUGGCAAUGCUAUGGAGACAUAGCGGAGGCAAACCGAUGCACAGGUGGUGCAUGGUUGUCGUCAGCUCGUGUCGUGAGAUGUUCGGUUAAGUCCGGCAACGAGCGCAACCCCUGCCUUAUGUUACUAACAUUCAGUUGAGGACUCAUGAGGGACUGCCUGGGCAACCAGGAGGAAGGUGGGGAUGACGUCAAAUCAUCAUGCCCCUUAUGUGUAGGGCUACACACGUGCUACAAUGGUCGGUACAAAGGGUCGCGAAGCCGCGAGGUGGAGCUAAUCCCAUAAAGCCGAUCUCAGUUCGGAUUGAAGUCUGCAACUCGACUUCAUGAAGUUGGAAUCACUAGUAAUCGUAGGUCAGCAAUACUACGGUGAAUACGUUCUCUGGUCUUGUACACACCGCCCGUCAAACCACGAAAGUCGGUAAUACCUAAAACCGCUGUCCUAACCUUUUGGAGGGAGGCGUCUAGGGUAGGAUUGAUGAUUGGGGUUAAGUCGUAACAAGGCCGUAAAUCGUCGACUGCAGCAGCA
Molecule: ribosomal RNA, 1517 nt
Filed under: uncultured Mycoplasmataceae bacterium
Lineage: Bacteria; Bacillati; Mycoplasmatota; Mollicutes; Mycoplasmatales; Mycoplasmataceae
Description: bacterial SSU rRNA
Rfam family: Bacterial small subunit ribosomal RNA
Source: RNAcentral